RNAcentral lists this ribosomal RNA (1343 nucleotides) under uncultured bacterium. Its description in RNAcentral is "16S ribosomal RNA". It matches the Rfam family "Bacterial small subunit ribosomal RNA", at positions 28 to 1378 of the family's 1533-position model. The record is from RNAcentral.
GACGAACGCUGUCGGCGUGCUUAACACAUGCAAGUCGAACGGAAAGGCCCUGCUUUUGUGGGGUGCUCGAGUGGCGAACGGGUGAGUAACACGUGAGUAACCUGCCCUUGACUUUGGGAUAACUUCAGGAAACUGGGGCUAAUACCGGAUAGGAGCUCCUGCUGCAUGGUGGGGGUUGGAAAGUUUCGGCGGUUGGGGAUGGACUCGCGGCUUAUCAGCUUGUUGGUGGGGUAGUGGCUUACCAAGGCUUUGACGGGUAGCCGGCCUGAGAGGGUGACCGGCCACAUUGGGACUGAGAUACGGCCCAGACUCCUACGGGAGGCAGCAGUGGGGAAUAUUGCACAAUGGGCGGAAGCCUGAUGCAGCAACGCCGCGCGCGGGAUGACGGCCUUCGGGUUGUAAACCGCUUUCGCCUGUGACGAAGCGUGAGUGACGGUAAUGGGUAAAGAAGCACCGGCUAACUACGUGCCAGCAGCCGCGGUGAUACGUAGGGUGCGAGCGUUGUCCGGAUUUAUUGGGCGUAAAGGGCUCGUAGGUGGUUGAUCGCGUCGGAAGUGUAAUCUUGGGGCUUAACCCUGAGCGUGCUUUCGAUACGGGUUGACUUGAGGAAGGUAGGGGAGAAUGGAAUUCCUGGUGGAGCGGUGGAAUGCGCAGAUAUCAGGAGGAACACCAGUGGCGAAGGCGGUUCUCUGGGCCUUUCCUGACGCUGAGGAGCGAAAGCGUGGGGAGCGAACAGGCUUAGAUACCCUGGUAGUCCACGCUGUAAACGGUGGGUACUAGGUGUGGGGUCCAUUCCACGGGUUCCGUGCCGUAGCUAACGCUUUAAGUACCCCGCCUGGGGAGUACGGCCGCAAGGCUAAAACUCAAAGGAAUUGACGGGGCCCCGCACAAGCGGCGGAGCAUGCGGAUUAAUUCGAUGCAACGCGUAGAACCUUACCUGGGUUUGACAUGGAUCGGGAGUGCUCAGAGAUGGGUGUGCCUCUUUUGGGGUCGGUUCACAGGUGGUGCAUGCCUGUCGUCAGCUCGUGUCGUGAGAUGUUGGGUUAAGUCCCGCAACGAGCGCAACCCUUGUUCACUGUUGCCAGCACGUUAUGGUGGGGACUCAGUGGAGACCGCCGGGGUCAACUCGGAGGAAGGUGGGGAUGACGUCAAGUCCUCAUGCCCCUUAUGUCCAGGGCUUCACGCAUGCUACAAUGGCUGGUACAGAGAGUGGCGAGCCUGUGAGGGUGAGCGAAUCUCGGAAAGCCGGUCUCAGUUCGGAUUGGGGUCUGCAACUCGACCUCAUGAAGUCGGAGUCGCUAGUAAUCGCAGAUCAGCAACGCUGCGGUGAAUACGUUCCCGGG